This is a non-coding RNA of Vitis riparia (riverbank grape), 73 nucleotides long. The record is from the annotation of a RefSeq genome assembly. NCBI's taxonomy places the organism in Eukaryota, Viridiplantae, Streptophyta, Magnoliopsida, Vitales, Vitaceae.
UCUUGUCUAGCUCAGUUGGAAUAGCACAAGGCUCUUAACCUUGUGGUUGUGGGUUCGAGCCCCACGAUGGGCA